Molecule: ribosomal RNA, 303 nt
Filed under: uncultured bacterium
Lineage: Bacteria
Description: partial 16S ribosomal RNA
Rfam family: Bacterial small subunit ribosomal RNA
Source: RNAcentral
AGCAGUAGCCGCGGUAAUACGUAGGGCGCAAGCGUUAUCCGGAAUUAUUGGGCGUAAAGAGCUCGUAGGCGGUUUGUCGCGUCUGCCGUGAAAGUCCGGGGCCCAACCCCGGAUCUGCGGUGGGUACGGGCAGACUAGAGUGAUGUAGGGGAGACUGGAAUUCCUGGUGUAGCGGUGAAAUGCGCAGAUAUCAGGAGGAACACCGAUGGCGAAGGCAGGUCUCUGGGCAUUAACUGACGCUGAGGAGCGAAAGCAUGGGGAGCGAACAGGAUUAGAUACCCCUGUAGUCCCUGUCUCUUAUAC